This 69-nucleotide transfer RNA is filed under the name Loxodonta africana (African savanna elephant). It matches the Rfam family "tRNA". Rfam says of the family: Transfer RNA (tRNA) molecules are approximately 80 nucleotides in length. Their secondary structure includes four short double-helical elements and three loops (D, anti-codon, and T loops). The record is from Rfam by way of RNAcentral. Lineage: Eukaryota; Metazoa; Chordata; Mammalia; Proboscidea; Elephantidae.
GCAUUGGUGGUUCAGUGGUAGAAUUCUCACCUUCCAUGUGGGAGACUCAGGUUCAAUUACUGGCCAACA